UUGUCUCAAAGAUUAAGCCAUGCAUGUCUAAGUACGAGCCGUUUUACGGCGAAACCGCGAAUGGCUCAAUAAAUCAGUUAUGGUUCCUUAGCUAAACCUCAUUACUUGGAUAACUGUGGUAAUUCUAGAGCUAAUACAUGCUACUCAAUUUCGACGGUGCGAACCGAAGAAAGGCUUUUAUUAGACCAAAACCAGUACGGCCCUUAAAAAGCCGUCUAUUAUGGUGACUCUGGAUAACUUCAGCGGAUCGCACGGCUUCGAGCCGGCGACGAGUCUUUCAAAUGUCUGCCUUAUCAACUGUCGAUGGUACGUUACGCGCGUACCAUGGUCGCAACGGGUAACGGGGAAUCGGGGUUCGAUUCCGGAGAGGGAGCCUGAGAAACGGCUACCACAUCCAAGGAAGGCAGCAGGCGCGCAAAUUACCCACUCCCGGCACGGGGAGGUAGUGACGAAAAAUAACGAUACGGGACUCUUCCGAGGCCCCGUGAUUGGAAUGAGUUGAAUUUAAAUCCUACUACGAGGAACGAUUGGAGGGCAAGUCUGGUGCCAGCAGCCGCGGUAACUCCAGCUCCAAUAGCGUAUAUUAAAGUUGUUGCGGUUAAAAAGCUCGUAGUCGGAAUUUUGGCGGUGCGGGGUAAUUGACUGAGGCCUACGGGCUUUAGUUUAUCUUUCCUUGGCCUGGACGGGGUGACCCGCCUUCGGUCUUAGCCGCGCCGCCGUCAGCCGUUUGGCUUCACCGGGUGCCCUUCAAAAGGUGUCUGUGAAAGCUACGGCGCGAUUCACUUUGAACAAAUUAGAGUGCUCAAAGCAGGCUAACUUAGCCGGAAUAUCUCAGCAUGGAAUGAUGGAAAAUGUACCGUGGCCGAUUUUUUUACUGGCUUCACUUCCACGGUAAAUGGUCGAUAGAAACGGACGGGGGCAUCCGUACCGCGGCGAUAGAGGUGAAAUUCUUGGACCGCCGCGAGACGAACGACUGCGAAGGCAUUUGCCAAGAAUGCUUUCAUUGAUCAAGAACGAAAGUUAGAGGUUCGAAGGCGAUCAGAUACCGCCCUAGUUCUAACCAUAAACGAUGCCGACCGGCGAUCCGCCGGUGUUACUCCCAUGACUCGGCGGGCGGCUUCCGGGAAACCACGAGUGUUCGGGUUCCGGGGGAAGUAUGGUUGCAAAGCUGAAACUUAAAGGAAUUGACGGAAGGGCACCACCAGGAGUGGAGCCUGCGGCUUAAUUUGACUCAACACGGGAAACCUCACCAGGCCCGGACACUGUAAGGAUGGACAGAUUGAGAGCUCUUUCUUGAUUCGGUGGGUGGUGGUGCAUGGCCGUUCUUAGUUGGUGGAGCGAUUUGUCUGGUUAAUUCCGAUAACGAACGAGACUCUAUCCUAUUAACUAGAUUUUCGGUUUUUCAUUUGGGGGGGGUGUUAAAGCCUUUCCCGAUUAUAUUUGAGUUUGUGAAAGUCGGGGAAUCUGGAGUGCGGUUUUUCUGUUUUGCGGGUGGCGGCGUUCGCGCGUCGUCUUCCGUUCGAUGAGAGAGCCGUGCUUCCCCUCGGCUGACACGAGCUCGCGCCGGAAAGAUACCUUCUUAGAGGAAUAAGCGGCGUCCAGCCGCGUGACAGUGAGCAAUAACAGGUCUGUGAUGCCCUUAGAUGUCCUGGGCCGUACGCGCGCUACACUGAAGGCAGCAGCGCGUCACAUCCCCCGGUCGGAGACGAUCGGGUAACCGCUGAACCGCCUUCGUGGUUGGGAUUGGGGACUGCAAUGAUCCCCACGAACCAGGAAUCCCUAGUAGGCGCGGGUCACUAGCCCGCGUCGAUUACGUCCCUGCCCUUUGUACACACCGCCCGUCGCUACUACCGAUUGAAUGAUUUAGUGAGGACUUUGGACGAUUCUGUUGGUGGAGCGCGAGCUUUACGGACGGGAAUGAAAAAUGUCCGAACUUGAUCCUUUAGAGGAAGUAAAAGUCGUAACAAGGUUUCCGUAGGUGAACCUGCAGAUGGAUCAGUUA
Molecule: ribosomal RNA, 2002 nt
Filed under: Notothrix halsei
Lineage: Eukaryota; Metazoa; Arthropoda; Branchiopoda; Diplostraca; Nototrichidae
Description: SSU rRNA
Rfam family: Eukaryotic small subunit ribosomal RNA
Source: RNAcentral